Molecule: long non-coding RNA, 369 nt
Filed under: Oryza sativa (Asian cultivated rice)
Lineage: Eukaryota; Viridiplantae; Streptophyta; Magnoliopsida; Poales; Poaceae
Description: long non-coding RNA (OSAT_LNC001572)
Source: RNAcentral
UAUUGGAGUAUCAUAUAAAAAGAGGUAAUAGUAAGUAUAGGUAUUAUUAUUCGGUUAUAUUAGGAUGAGUUUGAACUUUGAAGUGCAGGGAUAGGCGUGGUGUGGUUGGAUGAAUAAAAUGAAAAUGGAAUUAAUUAAUAGUCGUCGUCGUAGCCGCCGGCGGCGUAGUCGUCGUCUCUGUCGAGAUCGUCCUCCACCUUCUCCGCCACGCCCUCCUCGAACUUGUCCUCCAGGUAGCUCGCGCCGCCGGCCAGCGCCAGCCCUCCCAGCACGCCCGCCGCCGCGCCCACCGCCAGCCCUGUCCCCAUCCCCAUCUUGCUCUUCUUCUUCGUCUCCUCCACAACCACCGGCGCCCCACCUGCUGCACCG